GAUGAAGAACGUAGCGAAAUGCGAUAAGUAAUGUGAAUUGCAGAAUUCAGUGAAUCAUCGAAUCUUUGAACGCACCUUGCGCUCCUUGGUAUUCCGAGGAGCAUGCCUGUUUGAGUGUCAUUAAUAUAUCAACCUUCUCUUUUUUGAGUUGUUUGGAUGUGGGGGUUUGCUGGCCUCUUAAAUGAUUCAGCUCCCCUGAAGUGCAUUAGCAGAACAACCUGUUCAUUAGCGUGAUAAUUAUCUAUGCUAUUGAAUGUGAGGGCAGUUCAGCUUUCUAACCGUCCUUGGACAAUUCAUCAUUAAUGUGACCUCAAAUCAGGUAGGACUACCCGCUGAACUUAAGCAUAUCAAUAAGCGGAGGA
This 362-nucleotide unclassified non-coding RNA is filed under the name soil metagenome. Its description in RNAcentral is "partial contains 5.8S ribosomal RNA, internal transcribed spacer 2, and large subunit ribosomal RNA". The stretch from base 1 to 120 matches the Rfam family "5.8S ribosomal RNA", at positions 35 to 154 of the family's 154-position model. The record is from RNAcentral.